Homo sapiens (human) is the source of this 2050-nucleotide long non-coding RNA. RefSeq annotates it as TSBP1 and BTNL2 antisense RNA 1. Lineage: Eukaryota; Metazoa; Chordata; Mammalia; Primates; Hominidae. The record is from RefSeq and is marked validated.
GGAGAAGGCUUGUGAGGGGGAAAUGUGAGAGGAGAAGGGGCGCGAGGGGGAACCGCGAGGGGAGAAGGGGCGCGAGGGGGAACAGCGAGGGGAGAAGGGGUCCCGCCUCCUGGCCGCGCCGCCCUAGGUGUCGCCGCCUGGCGGUUACGAGGAGGCCGCCUCCUGCUUGCCGGCCUGGCGGUCCUACUCGACACCGCAAGAUUUCAAAAGGGAAAUUCCUCCAGGGCUGAGUCACAGGGAAGAAAGCGAUUUCCUCCGCCUCUUCCAAAGCGGAUUUUAUAACCUGACAGCGUGCUGGAACUUCUCUGCUGGACUCCUGGACUCCCACAAUGAGUCAAUUUUGUGUACUGAAAACAAAUGCAGUUCAAAAAUGUGGGUGAGGUUGCUGUCUGUCACCUACCAGCUAUGUGAUUCGGUGGCAAAUCUAUUACUCUUGAUCCAAUCCUGCUAGGAAGAACCUCACCCUACUUAGCUGCUGCUGGGUAUCAAAUAGAUGCUGCUCAAAAGGUGGCUAAAGAGCCUAAGUGGAGAUCUGCUUGUAUUCUUCAUUGAUGAAGUCUAAAUAUGAAGCUAGAACUGAAGACAUUCCAUCAGAUUGACUGUUACAGGGUAGGGAGCUGCAGCACAAGCACAGAGAAGCCAGCAGCUUCAUCACAUCACACCAGCUCUGCAGCGCCAAGGCAGACACACCAGCUCUGCGGCACCGAGGCAGACACACCAGCUCUGCGGUGCCGAGGCAGAGCCUGCGCCCUCUGAUGCUCUGUGUCGUGUUUUUUCCCACUUCGCCAUGCUGCAUUUUCCUUAGGGCUCUGACAUCUCCUUCUGACACUGAUUUUUUUUUUUUGACACUGAAUUUUUAAAUAAUUAUUUUUCAAGGUGCAACAUUUUGACGUCAAAAUUCAGCUAGUGAGAUUUCCAAAGUCCCUUUCUUCUAAUUUCUUAUUUCCAAGUAUUUUUUUUAAUUGCAGCUUAAUUUAUGAUAAGAAGCAGCUGCAUUUCUUGACCCCAAAGUACUAGAGUGAAUUAAUAAUUUAACGUGGUGCAACCACUGAUUCAAGUGCUUUUAAUGUCUCAUUUAAUCCUAAAGCCUGUGCUGGCCUCUGAGAUGUAGUUACUGCUGUUAUUCUCAUUAAAAAGGUGAAAGAACUAAGGUAUGAGGUGCUCAAGUAACUUUCCAAAGGUGACUCAGCUAGGAGUGGAGGAGCUCCUGGGAGUGGAGGAGCUCCUCAAAAGUGAGGAGUUCCUUUUUGGAUACAGGUGGCUUGGCCCCAGACUUACACUCUUAGAUGUUGUUCUCGACCUUUGGACCCAGACUAGCUCACUGGGACAUUAGACUAUACAGUAAAGGGAGAAGGGAAUCCUACCUGACUGCUUCAUUGUCAGCAGGAUGAAUAGGAAGGAGGCGACUGCACCAGACAGAUUGUAGCCUGGAAAAUCCACCAUCCUCCCUGGAACAAAGACAAGGAAACGCUGUGCCUAAGUGAGGCUGUGACACACCCGGCACACUCCAUGGCUUCCAUUGGUUAUGCAGUCUUAGCAGAGAAUCCACAUCAACCCCUGCACAGUCAGUGAAAUGGGCUUGGCUCCAUUUCUCUGCAAUUACUGAUCACAUCCAACCCUUUACCUAACGUGUUAUAUUGUGAGACAAUGUAGCAAAUGUAAGAAGCCUUGCUUGCUCAUUUCGGCUUGCUAGCAUACUUUCACAAAGCCCCUGCUGUGAUGACCUGCAGUUCUCCAGAAAGAUGCUUCAAAGACAAAACAAGAUUGAGCACACGGCCUCCCAUCUCUCUUGCCUGAGUCACUCUACUCCUUAAAAGAUAAGCAAUAAUAGUCCUUGCCUUUUCCUACACAUAAGAUAACGUCUGAUUGAAGGAUACCUCUGUAACCUAUAACCAGAUCUGCUCAUACACCCAAACGUUGAUGUAGUUCGGCUUCAAUGUAGCUUCUGAGCUAAUUUGAUGUAGUGGUUAAUAUGUAACCUCCUGACAUCGAAAAGGAUAUGGAUUUGUUUCUGAAUCAUAAAGUUUUACUGAUUGUUUUGUGCAUGAAA